CAUUAACAUGUAAACAAUGUCACACUGAAGACACAUGGCAAUGACCUACCACGUUGAAAAUAUCUUCUACAAUCUUCAACUGGAGAAUUUUCAAAUGCAGACAUGACUCCUUCCUAUUUGGUCACAGUUAGGCAUCUCGUUGCAGAAGAACAAUGCCUGAGAAUGAUAGAAAAUUGGAAAUGAAUGGUAACUUUGGACUGCUAGAUACUGCAGAAAGCACAUGGACAUCAGUCUCUACAGCAGGGAUCUGGGACUGUAGAGAAGCUCAAAGAAUACCGCAGGUAGGAUCAACAAAGUUAUUUCAGCUGAAGUAUCACCCAUGGGAUUCAGAAGUUAGAUAAAAGACUGCAGAUUAGAAGCUGAAGCAAAAAUAUAAUAACUCAGGAGAAGUUAAUGUAAUACUAAUGACUAUAACACCUCAGUGCCCUGUGCUGACAUCAUUCAACAGACAUGAAUACCUUGUUAUAGUUGUUCUUAUCUCUACUGCAGAAGUUAUUAAGUCUGUGCUAUACUGGAACAAAGAAGUCUUAUUAGUCUAGAUUCACUGAAUGAUUUCUUUUACCCAUUUUUUUUUUAAUAACUCCUCUGCUGCUGGUUCU
Molecule: long non-coding RNA, 599 nt
Organism: Gallus gallus (chicken)
Lineage: Eukaryota; Metazoa; Chordata; Aves; Galliformes; Phasianidae
Exons: 4
Source: RefSeq, a predicted model, not a curated record